CAGCUGGUGAUGGUGAAACGCCCCGGAAGAAUUUCUUCAGGGAAGUUAUUCACCAACGAAACAGUCUCUCAUUCCAUGAAUGUGGCGAGGCAGGACAAAUGGAGUGAAGAAGACAGUCCUUGCACUGGUCCUCAAACAGGGCGACAGCGCCAUGGCCUGGGAGAGCCUUCCUUAGGUGGAGGAGGUCAGCAUGGCAGGUGACAUCUUGUCAGCUUCGGUAGAUUGUCAUGGUGUUCUGGAACAUUACCUGUUUCUGAUUUGUGAUCUUUCCUGAUCUUCACAUCUGCCCUGGAAG
Molecule: long non-coding RNA, 295 nt
Organism: Suricata suricatta (meerkat)
Lineage: Eukaryota; Metazoa; Chordata; Mammalia; Carnivora; Herpestidae
Exons: 3
Source: RefSeq, a predicted model, not a curated record